This 3282-nucleotide long non-coding RNA is filed under the name Homo sapiens (human). Its description in RNAcentral is "HSALNT0291917". Lineage: Eukaryota; Metazoa; Chordata; Mammalia; Primates; Hominidae. The record is from RNAcentral.
CUGAGAUUGUGCCACUGCACUCCAGCCACUGCACUCCAGGAAGACCCUCUCAGAAAAAAAAAAAAAAGAAUUUGGCCGUUAUGUGGAGGACUGGAAUUGAGAAGGGCAAGAGCGAGGUAGAAGAGUGGUCUAGGGAGAACAGUUAGGGGCUAUUGCAAUUAUCCAGCAAGAGAUCUUGGACCAGGAUGGCAGCAGUGGAGGUGGUAAAAUGUGGUUGGAUGAAGCGUACGCUUUGAAGGUAUCAACAGGACCAGCUGAUGGAAGGGAGUCAACAGGACUAGCUGAUGGCUGUAAACUGGGGGGUCACUAGCUAUCAGAUGGCAUUUACUUAAAGCCAUGGAAGUAGGUGAGCUCCCUUAUGGAGAGGGAAUAGGAAGGAGGUAGACCAUUCUAUCAAAAUGCUCUUUCUACAGGGCACUUCUCACUGAGAUAUUAUUUAUCUGGGAUUUAUAUUAUUUAUUCAAUUUGUUUUGUGUUUGGUUCUAUUAGAAAAGCUCCAUAGGGGCCGGGCACGUUGGCUUUUGCCUGUAAUCCCAACACUUUGGAAGGCCGAGGCAGGCGGAUUACCUGGGGUCAGGAGUUUGAGACCAGCCUGGCCAACAUGGUGAAACUCUGUCUCUACUAAAAACACAAAAAUUAGCCGGGCGUGGUGGUGCGCCUGUAAUCCCAGAUGCUGAGGAGGAGAAUCGCUUGAACCCGGGAGGUGGAGGUUGCAGUGAGCCGAGAUCGCGCCACUGCACUCCAGCCUGGGCAACAAGAGCGAAACUCCCUCUCAAAAACAAACAAACAAACAAACAAACAAACAAAAAACAAAAAAAAGAAAGAAAGAAAGAAAAGGGCCAGGUGUGGUGGCUCACACCUGUAAUCCCAGCACUUUGGGAGGCUGAGGCAGGCGGAUCACGAGGUCAGGAGAUCGAGACCAUCCUCACCAACACGGUGAAACCCCGUCUCUACUAAAAAUACAAAAAUUAGUCGGGUGUGGUGGCGGGCGCCUGUAGUCCCAGGUACUCCGCAGGCUGAGGCAGGAGAAUCGCUUGAACCCGGGAGGCGGAGGUUGUAGUGAGCCGAGAUUGAGCCACUGCACUCCAGCCUGGGUGACAAAGUGAGACUCCAUCUCAAAAGAAAAAAGCUCCAUAGGAGAAGGAACCUUGUCUCUUCACCACAUAAACUGUGUUUGGAUUCGCAAUCGAGUUGGGAAAAAAAAAUCAGUCUGGAAGAGCCACACCAAACCGCUAACAGCUACUGUCUCUGGGAAUAGAACAAGGAGUUUGGUUGGCGCGAUAUACCGCCCCUGAACCUCUAGCCACAAUAAGGCUUAAUUAAUGACCGGACGACUUGAAAGCGCCUUCCACUGUUUAUCUCUUAAAUCUGCAACGAAAUGCAACAAAAACGCAAGAAAUAAACAAUAGAAGCCAGUCUUACUGCACACUGCAGAAGCCAAUAAACCCCAAAUGUAGCUCAAAACAAGGUGUCACGCAAACUUCUGAUUUUUUUUUGUUUUACACUGAAUCUCUGUCACUCUGACUAGAGGGCAGUGGCGCGAUCUCGGAUCACUACAACCUCCGUCUUCUAGAGUCAAGAGACUCUCCCGCCCCAGGAGUCUCUGCCACUCUGACUAGAGGGCAGUGGCGCGAUCUCGGAUCACUACAACCUCCGUCUUCUAGAGUCAAGAGACUCUCCCGCCCCAGCUUCUCCAAUAGGUGGGAUUGCAAACAGGCACCACCACGCCCGAAUAAGUUUGUGAACAUUUGGUACAAAUAACAAAUGACCAAGUUCCUUGGUUGUAGUUGCCUAACUUUUAAUACUUAAAAAUGUAGCCUCAGGAAAUAAGAGGCCUCAAAAAAUUGAAUAAAAACUCACAACUUUCUCUCCACGGAAAUCUUUAGUAAAAGGCGAAAGAUUUAUGCGCUUUGAAGAGAAACCCGAGUAUAUUCGUGACUUCCGCUUCGAACCUCGCAGGGAGAACUAACACUUAACACACUUAUGGUUGUUGGAUGCCUGCGUGGUACGCACUCCCUAUAUGUAGUUUAUGCACACAGAUGCGUGUAAGAGGCAUCAUGCUCUAAAACAGUGCAGAAAUGCGCGCACAGAGGGAGUGCAAGCAUCUUGAGGGUAUCUUUUCGUGGUGCACCAUGGGUAUGCAAAUCACAGGCGGCUCCGGGCUGUUCCGCGCCACCGGGGAAGCCAUGGGUCACUGAUCUCCUUUGCUCUCCUAUGCUCCUCUCUGCUGGUCCUCCUGGGACCCGCACCCCGUGGGCGGCGCCGGGUGCGGAGUCCUUUGCGGAGCUGGUGUUCGUCCCAGGGGUUAAGGUCCUGUCCCGCCGUCCUUACCCGCAGUAAGCCUCCGGGCUUAGAGAGAGGGACGGGGAAACAGACGGGCACAGACACUCAGGGGCACUGGGACCUCACAGGAGGCACGACCCCACCCCUCCUGGAGGAGAUGGCAUCCGAUCCAAUUCACCUCGAAGGGUGAUAUGGGGUCACAUCAAGGGGAGGUGAGGCUCUGUGCUCUAUUCCAGGGCUGUGGCCACUCUUCAAGGCCUCUGCUUAGUGGAGCUGUUCAACUUUCACAGAACAAACAACUUACGCUGUGUCCUCACUAACUGCUAGCACCUCAGUUUCUGAGCAGUUCCCGCAACUGAUCCACUGGCUGACUGGCCAAAGACACCUCUCGGCUGUCAGGACAACCAACUUACAGAGGCCUUUGCCUUGGAGGUUGCUCUGGAACCUGGCUCCUUUCCCUGGGUCCACAAACCUCCUGAGAAGCUCCCCAGACCCUGUUGACCUCUCUCUGCUUCAACUGGCUGCUUUCCUGAUCUGCCUCCACCUCGCCUUCCACCUGCUGCAUGGCUUUGCCCCUCUGCCUUGCCGUUUCCCGUGCGGGUGAAGCAGGUAGGUGGAGGUGAGUCUGGAGAGACGGGCAGGCUGGAAUAUGGUGGCUCUGAAAGCCACACAGUGGGGUUCUUUUUUUUCUGCUCUCGGUCUCCAGAUUGAACCCAGUAGGAUUUCACACCAACAAAAUUUGUUAUCGUUUUGUAUAGUAAGCACUUAAUCCAGAUGAUGUUACCAAGUAUAUGACAAAAAUCCAGAAUCUGGGGUCUUUUCCACCCAGAACUAGAGAAGCUAAUACCUCAGGUCCUGGCACCAGAGAAGCUCCUUCCAAUAGCUAAUGUUCACUUGCAAACUCCCCACUCUGUCCAAAAAAAAGCACUGAAGUCAUCUGAGAUUAGUUCACAUAGAAUAUAUUUCAUUCUUUAAAAAAUAAAACUUUCAUCAUAGCUA